CUGCUGUCUCCAUGACAACGCCAGGCCCACCAGAUGAAGACGAGGAAGAUGAAGAGGAUGAGGUUUUUUUUUUUAUAACGAAGGAAACCACUUGUGGGUCACAUCCCAUAAUGCCGUGCAUGGGGAGGUUCCCAUAGCAACAGACCUAUCAGCUUGUCCGGGACGACGCCGGACGCUUUCGGAGCGCGUCGGUCGGGGAUUCGAACCCUCAACCUCCUGGAUUAUCCCCCCCCCACUGAGCACGAUGCCUGCACCUUAAACCCCUGAACCUCCCCUUUAAGACCCCCCUGAACCUCCCCUUUAAGACCCCCCAGGCACCUCCCCUAUAAGACCCCCUGAACCUCCCCUUUAAGACCCCCCUGAACCUCCCCUUUAAGACCCCCCUGAACCUCCCCUUUAAGACCCCCCAGGCACCUCCCCUAUAAGACCCCCUGAACCUCCCCUUUAAGACCCCCCUGAACCUCCCCUUUAAGACCCCCCUCCCACCUCCCCUUUAAGACCCCCCUCCCACCUCCCCUUUAAGACCCCCCUGAACCUCCCCUUUAAGGACCCCCGUAUUCCACCACUUUAAGACCCCCCAGCCACCGUCCAUUUAAUAUGCCUGUAUCACCGCCCCUUUAAGACCCCCCUCAGCACAGACACCAGAGCUGGGGGGUGAGGCGACGGGGGGGUGAGGGGGUGAGGGGCGGAAAGGGUGUCACGCAUGACCUGGGUUGCCGUGGAAACAGGCUAAGGAAUGCCGGACGGUUUAUCCGAGUGCCAAAGCUGGAAGUGGAAGGUCCGGACUCCAGCGGACCAGGACCCCCCAGUCCCCAGGACCCGCGAGUCCCCAGGACCCCCCAGUCCCCAGGACCCCCCCCUUCCCCCCCCGGCCCCCCUGUACAUACGGAUGUCGGUUGGUUUUGUUGAACAUCUGUUAUAGAUUUGUACAAUUUUACAUGAAGAAAUUUGUUACAUUUUGUAAACAGGAGUAAACUACACACACACACACACACACACACACACACACACACACACACACACACACACACACACACACACACACACACACACACACACACACACACACACACAGCAGAUCUCUCUCCAGUCUGCGUCUUCUAAGUAUUUGGUCUCUAAAACUACGGUGCCAGCAGUGUGUGUUCACGUGCACAGCGUGGGCGUGCACGUUUAUUUUGUACUCCCCCAGCCUUGUGGAACCACUAGACUCCCAGACCGGGUUCUGACCCGGUCUGCACCGGACCCUCCUCACAGGAAGAGGAGGAGCUUCAGAUGAAGUGGAGGAGGAAGACGAAGGUCUAAGAGCGCCCCUAGUCCUGGUCGAGACCUGGUCUUAGUCCUGGUCGAGACCUGGUCUUAGUCCUGGUCGAGACCUGGUCUUAGUCCAGGUCGAGACCUGGUCUUAGUCCUGGUCGAGACCUGGUCUUAGUUCAGGUCUAGACCUGGUCUUAGUCCAGGUCUAGACCUGGUCUUAGUCCAGGUCUAGACCUGGUCUUAGUCCUGGUCGAGACCUGGUCUUAGUCCUGGUCGAGACCUGGUCUUAGUCCUGGUCGAGACCUGGUCUUAGUCCAGGUCUAGACCUGGUCUUAGUCCUGGUCGAGACGUCUUGGACCAGCAGUCCUUUGAGGACGCACUGUGUGAAUCAGAACAAAACAGGACUUCUUCAACACAUGCACACACACGCAUAUAUGGUACACACGCAUGCAUGGUACACACGCACACAUAUGGCACACAAACAAACACACACACUCCGACAAACAGAGCUCAAUGCAUCUCAAAUUCCUGCUGCCUGAACUGUUGUUAACCUGUCUAGUAGUCUCUCUCCCCUCGCUCUCCCUCUGUGUAACUGUUCAGUGUGUUUUGUUGUGUGUCGGCCCAUCCACGUCUGUAGAGGGUUAGCAGCACAGCUUCCCUCCAGUCGGCUCAAAGGAGCUCCGCGCGACGCAGCGUCCGACCGCUGUAGUCCGCUCUGUAGCCGCGCAUGGCCGCUCAUGUAUCAAUACUGUACAACGCUUCUGAUAGGCUGGCCUCUCGCUGGACCCCCUCUCAGACCUGGACCUGGGUUAGACCCUAUCUAGACGGCACUCUGACCCGACCUAGACCUGAGUUAGACUCGAUCUAGACUGGCUCUAGGUGUGCCCCCUGGCCCGUUGACCCUCAGCUCGUCACGCUGGUGUAGACGCCGCUGGACCCCGACGCCGUGAAUGAGUGACCGACAAAUGAAUGAAUGAAAUACUGAAGGGCCGCCCACCGCCGGUGGAGCCCCGUGUUCAGGGUGACCCGCUGAAUGUGGACCCAGGAAGACCCAGCUAGCUGAUGGCUAGGUAGCUGAUAGCUAGCUGAUGGCUAGCUGCCAGCUAGCUGAUGAAUAGGUAGCUGCCAGCUAGCUGAAGGCUAGGUAGCCGCCAGCUAGCUGACGGCUAGGUAGCCGCCGGCUAUCUGACGGCUAGGUAGCCGCCGGCUAGCUGACGGUUAGGUAGCCGCCGGCUAGCUGACGGUUAGGUAGCCGCCGGCUAGCUGACGGCUAGGUAGCCGCCAGCUAGCUGAUUGCUAGGUAGCCGCCAGCUAGCUGAUGGCUAGGUAGCUGCCAGCUAGAGGGUAGCUGCCAGCUAGAGCGCUGCAAACCAGCUGAUAGCUAGAUAGCUUCCAGAUAAAGAGCUUCUAGAAAGGUACUUGCUUGACUGUUGGUUUCUAGCGAGCCGCUAGGUGGUUUUCUAGCUAAGUAGCUGCUGGACAGAUAGCUGCUAACUAGGCAAUGUAGCUGCUAGCUAGAUUAUAUGGUUCUAUCUUGAGUUUCUAUCUUGAUCGCUGAUGUUCUGCUAGUUGCUGGCUACGUUACCUCCAGGCAGCAGCUUUCAUCUUCUGAUAAACUGCUCAAGUGUGGCGUUAACGAGUUGACUAGCUGAGCUGGGUGGUGAUGGUUAGAAGCUAGCUAGAUAGCUAGCAGCUGCUAAUGAAGAAGCCACCAGUUCUUCUGUGAUAACUUCCUGGUUCAAACUGUUUCUUGACUCGUCUUGCUUUGCUUCGGUUCCCCAGACGUCGGUACUCCUCCAAACCGCCCCAAUCCGGUUCUGCUCACUCUGCACUUUUCGAAGUAAAAGUCCUGCCGUGUUCGGACGCUGGGAGGAAUCGUACGGGAAUGGUUUCGGGGGGGAGGGCAGGGGUGCUGAGGGGAUCCCCUCCAUGUGGAGGUCAGAGGUCAGAGGUCAGUCGGGCUCCAUUCUGCUUCUCCUCACGCCCCCCCCCCCGCUGGGCUGUAGGGCAGGGGGGCUCCAUGCCUGGACUCCGCCUCCUCUCUGGUCCCCAACGGAUCAAAUGUAUUCAGCUCUUUGGUAUAAUCUUUGAGUCCAAAGGUACUUAUUCAUGUGGACAUCUCGCUACAUCGAGGCACGCCCCCAAGAGCACUUGUAUGAACCUUCAUUAACGUAUGUAGCAUUAGAUUGGUUCAAUGAGAUGUCGUGUUGAGAUGUUGUCCCGCCCCUUUCGCCCGGAGCAGCCACUCAGGCUGCUGCUGUGUGCUUCAAUAAAUACAACUGCCUUCUCAAA
This is a long non-coding RNA of Gadus macrocephalus (Pacific cod), 3546 nucleotides long. RefSeq lists it as uncharacterized. The transcript is spliced from 3 exons. NCBI's taxonomy places the organism in Eukaryota, Metazoa, Chordata, Actinopteri, Gadiformes, Gadidae. The record is from RefSeq and is a predicted model, not a curated record.